AUGAAGGAAUUGUUCAAAAUGAGUGAUCUAGGCUUGUUAAGCUUUUACCUUGGGAUUGAGGUACAUCAAAGUAGAGAUGGGAUCACAUUGUGCCAAGAGGCAUAUGCCACAAAAAUUCUGGUGAAUUGUGGCAUGGAUGAUUGCAAUCCUUCACAUACGCCUAUGGAGGCUAAGCUCAAGUUGAGCAAACGGAGUGAGGCGCCGGCCGUUGAUCCAACAGAUUACAGAAGCAUUGUGGGGAGCCUAAGGUACUUGGUGAACACAAGGGCUGAUAUGGCCUACUCUGUUGGGAUCGUUAGUAGAUACAUGGAGCACCCUACUACUGAACAUCUAGCUGCGGUGAAGCAAAUUUUGAGGUAUGUUAAGGGCACUCCAAAAUAUGGCUGCAAGUACACAAGAAAGAAAGAGGCAAGACCACCAUUGGUGGGCUAUAGUGACAGUGAUAUGGCAGGAGACGUGGACGACAGGAAAAGUACUACUGGCGUUGCUUUUUUCUUAGGUGAAAAUUUGAUCUGUUGGCUGUCACAGAAGCAGAAGGUAGUGGCACUUUCUUCUUGCGAAGCGGAGUACAUUGCAGGAGCGGCUGCGGCGUGUCAGGGAGUUUGGCUCAGUAGAUUAUAUGCGGACUUGAUGGGAGAACAGCCGAAGCAAGUGAAGCUACAUAUUGACAAUAAAUCCACCAUAUCUUUGUGCAAGAAUCCUGUGCAUCAUGAUCGUAGCAAGCACAUUGAUGUGAAGUUCCACUACAUUCGUGAGUGUGUGGAAGAAGGGAGGAUGGAGGUCGAGCAUGUCAAUACAAACGAUCAACUCGCGGACAUUUUAACGAAGUCACUUGGGAAGGUGAAGUUUCAAGAGAUGUGUGAGAAGAUCGGAGUAAAGGCUGUCAAGUAG
This 891-nucleotide ribosomal RNA is filed under the name Triticum aestivum (bread wheat). RNAcentral's name for it is "partial small subunit ribosomal RNA". Lineage: Eukaryota; Viridiplantae; Streptophyta; Magnoliopsida; Poales; Poaceae. The record is from RNAcentral.